Molecule: ribosomal RNA, 396 nt
Filed under: uncultured bacterium
Lineage: Bacteria
Description: partial 16S ribosomal RNA
Rfam family: Bacterial small subunit ribosomal RNA
Source: RNAcentral
AUACGAAGGGUGCAAGCGUUAAUCGGAAUUACUGGGCGUAAAGCGCGCGUAGGUGGUUCGUUAAGUUGGAUGUGAAAGCCCCGGGCUCAACCUGGGAACUGCAUCCAAAACUGGCGAGCUAGAGUAUAGCAGAGGGUGGUGGAAUUUCCUGUGUAGCGGUGAAAUGCGUAGAUAUAGGAAGGAACACCAGUGGCGAAGGCGACCACCUGGGCUAAUACUGACACGGAGGUCGGAAAGCGUGGGGAGCAAACAGGAUUAGAUCCCCUUGUAGUCCACGCCGUAAACGAUGUCGACUAGCCGUUGGGAUCCUUGAGAUCUUAGUGGCGCAGCUAACGCAUUAAGUCGACCGCCUGGGGAGUACGGCCGCAAGGUUAAAACUCAAAUGAAUUGACGGGG